AUGACCGAAUGGUAACACACAUACUAAAAUUGGAACAAUAAAAAGAGAGGAUUAACAUGGCCCCUGUGUAAGGCUGACAUGCAAAUUCGAGAAACAUUCCAUAUUUUU
This is a small nuclear RNA of Jaculus jaculus (lesser Egyptian jerboa), 108 nucleotides long. The record is from Ensembl. Lineage: Eukaryota; Metazoa; Chordata; Mammalia; Rodentia; Dipodidae.